This 857-nucleotide ribosomal RNA is filed under the name uncultured bacterium. Its description in RNAcentral is "SSU rRNA". It matches the Rfam family "Bacterial small subunit ribosomal RNA", at positions 524 to 1381 of the family's 1533-position model. The record is from RNAcentral.
UACGGGAGUGGCAAGCGUUAUCCGGAAUUAUUGGGCGUAAAGCGUCCGCAGGCGGUCUUGUAAGUCUGUUGUUAAAGCGUGGAGCUUAACUCCAUUUGAGCAAUGGAAACUGCAAGACUAGAGUGUGGUAGGGGCAGAGGGAAUUCCCGGUGUAGCGGUGAAAUGCGUAGAUAUCGGGAAGAACACCAGUGGCGAAGGCGCUCUGCUGGGCCAUAACUGACGCUCAUGGACGAAAGCCAGGGGGGCGAAAGGGAUUAGAUACCCCUGUAGUCCUGGCCGUAAACGAUGAACACUAGGUGUCGGGGGAAUCGACCCCCUCGGUGUCGUAGCCAACGCGUUAAGUGUUCCGCCUGGGGAGUACGCACGCAAGUGUGAAACUCAAAGGAAUUGACGGGGGCCCGCACAAGCGGUGGAGUAUGUGGUUUAAUUCGAUGCAACGCGAAGAACCUUACCAGGGUUUGACAUCCUGCGAAUCCCUUGGAAACGAGGGAGUGCCUUCGGGAGCGCAGUGACAGGUGGUGCAUGGCUGUCGUCAGCUCGUGUCGUGAGAUGUUGGGUUAAGUCCCGCAACGAGCGCAACCCACGUCGUUAGUUGCCAGCAUUCAGUUGGGCACUCUAGCGAGACCGCCGGUGAUAAACCGGAGGAAGGUGUGGAUGACGUCAAGUCAUCAUGCCCCUUACAUCCUGGGCUACACACGUACUACAAUGCUACGGACAAAGGGCAGCAAACUCGCGAGAGCUAGCAAAUCCCAUAAACCGUGGCUCAGUUCAGAUCGUAGGCUGCAACUCGCCUACGUGAAGGAGGAAUCGCUAGUAAUCGCAGGUCAGCAUACUGCGGUGAAUACGUUCCCGGGCCU